This 432-nucleotide ribosomal RNA is filed under the name bacterium enrichment culture clone ALO1_GLFRUDD03GUAC3. RNAcentral describes it as "bacterial SSU rRNA". It matches the Rfam family "Bacterial small subunit ribosomal RNA", at positions 9 to 441 of the family's 1533-position model. The record is from RNAcentral.
GAGUUUGAUCAUGGCUCAGAUUGAACGCUGGCGGCAGGCCUAACACAUGCAAGUCGAGCGGAUGACGGGAGCUUGCUCCUUGAUUCAGCGGCGGACGGGUGAGUAAUGCCUGGGAAUCUGCCUGGUAGUGGGGGACAACGUUUCGAAAGGAACGCUAAUACCGCAUACGUCCUACGGGAGAAAGCAGGGGACCUUCGGGCCUUGCGGCUAUCAGAUGAGCCUAGGUCGGAUUAGCUAGUUGGUGGGGUAAUGGCUCACCAAGGCGACGAUCCGUAACUGGUCUGAGAGGAUGAUCAGUCACACUGGAACUGAGACACGGUCCAGACUCCUACGGGAGGCCAGCAGUGGGGAAUAUUGGACAAUGGGCGAAAGCCUGAUCCAGCCAUGCCGCGUGUGUGAAGAAGGUCUUCGGAUUGUAAAGCACUUUAAGUU